CCUACGGGAGGCAGCAGUGGGGAAUAUUGGACAAUGGGGGGAACCCUGAUCCAGCCAUGCCGCGUGUGUGAAGAAGGCCCUCGGGUUGUAAAGCACUUUCAGUGAGGAAGAACGCCUGGUGGUUAAUACCCAUCAGGAAAGACAUCACUCACAGAAGAAGCACCGGCUAACUCCGUGCCAGCAGCCGCGGUAAUACGGAGGGUGCGAGCGUUAAUCGGAAUUACUGGGCGUAAAGCGCGCGUAGGUGGCUUGAUAAGCCGGUUGUGAAAGCCCCGGGCUCAACCUGGGAACGGCAUCCGGAACUGUCAAGCUAGAGGGCAGGAGAGGAAGGUAGAAUUCCCGGUGUAGCGGUGAAAUGCGUAGAGAUCGGGAGGAAUACCAGUGGCGAAGGCGGCCUUCUGGACUGACACUGACACUGAGGUGCGAAAGCGUGGGUAGCAAACAGGAUUAGAUACCCCAGUAGUC
This 465-nucleotide ribosomal RNA is filed under the name Vreelandella stevensii. Its description in RNAcentral is "partial 16S ribosomal RNA". It matches the Rfam family "Bacterial small subunit ribosomal RNA", at positions 338 to 795 of the family's 1533-position model. Lineage: Bacteria; Pseudomonadati; Pseudomonadota; Gammaproteobacteria; Oceanospirillales; Halomonadaceae. The record is from RNAcentral.